GGCUGGCGCUGCUGCAGCUGGAGCAGAAAGCCUCUGAGCACACAGAGAAGGAGGCUUCUCUGUUCUUACAACAGGGACUGGAGCACUUUGUCAGCCAGCGCUGCAGCAAGAGGACCGGCAGGAGGCUGAAAGUGAGAAAGCUGCCAAGCUGUCCAUCACCCAACCAGCGGGAGCGAAGGGGCCUUCUGACGCCAGUGUGGCCAAGAGAGGAGCCACGCGGGGCAGGGGAGGGCCUGGUCAAGGGCGAGUGGCAGCAGCAGUAACCAAAGCUCCUGCUCCUGCGCCCCCAGCCCCCAUCAGGGGAGGGAAAGCGGCCCAGCCUGCAGCCAAAACCCCUGCAGCCAGGGUGGGAGCUGGAGCAGCAGCCAAGCCACGUGGACCAGCUAAACCUUCCAACACUGGUACUAGACCCCAGCUCCCCACCAACAAGUCUAAACAGGGCCGUUGCCCCGAUACCGUUGAGACAGCAGAGGUUUCAGAGCCUCUUGUUGGAGACAGAGUCCCUGUGUCCAGUCCAGUGAACCGCAGGUCUCAUAUCUCUCGGCUGGGUCUGGCCCGUGCCCCCUCCCGCUCUGCAGACACCCAGAACCAGGCAAAGCUGCUCUACCAAGAGGUCAUCUCCAUAACGCCAGGGCUGUGCUUGUAGGUUGCAUAGAGAAAUACAUGGACAUCUUGGAUGGAAAGUCCAUGACCAAGUUGCUGAAGAAUGUCUACGCGAGGAUCCAUGACAGACAGGAGGAC
Xiphias gladius (swordfish) is the source of this 741-nucleotide long non-coding RNA. RefSeq lists it as uncharacterized. Lineage: Eukaryota; Metazoa; Chordata; Actinopteri; Istiophoriformes; Xiphiidae. The transcript has 5 exons. The record is from RefSeq and is a predicted model, not a curated record.